RNAcentral lists this ribosomal RNA (468 nucleotides) under uncultured bacterium. Its description in RNAcentral is "partial 16S ribosomal RNA". It matches the Rfam family "Bacterial small subunit ribosomal RNA", at positions 28 to 507 of the family's 1533-position model. The record is from RNAcentral.
GACGGACGCUGGCGGCGUGCUUAACACAUGCAAGUCGAACGGAAAGGCCCUGCUUUUGUGGGGUGCUCGAGUGGCGAACGGGUGAGUAACACGGGAGUAACCUGCCCUUGACUUUGGGAUAACUUCAGGAAACUGGGGCUAAUACCGGAUAGGAGCUGCUGCUGCAUGGUGGGGGUUGGAAAGUUUCGGCGGUUGGGGAUGGACUCGCGGCUUAUCAGCUUGUGGGUGGGGUAGUGGCCUACCAAGGCUUUGACGGGUAGCCGGCCUGAGAGGGUGACCGGCCACAUUGGGACUGAGAUACGGCCCAGACUCCUACGGGAGGCAGCAGUGGGGAAUAUUGCACAAUGGGCGGAAGCCUGAUGCAGCAACGCCGCGUGCGGGAUGAAGGCCUUCGGGUUGUAAACCGCUUUCGCCUGUGACGAAGCGUGAGUGACGGUAAUGGGUAAAGAAGCACCGGCUAACUACGUG